RNAcentral lists this ribosomal RNA (322 nucleotides) under uncultured eukaryote. Its description in RNAcentral is "partial 18S ribosomal RNA". It matches the Rfam family "Eukaryotic small subunit ribosomal RNA", at positions 1470 to 1796 of the family's 1831-position model. The record is from RNAcentral.
CCCUUAGAUGUUCUGGGCCGCACGCGUGCUACACUGAGUGGAUCAGCGGGUCAGGUUGCGCGAAAGCGUUUCCUAAUCUUUAAAUCCGCUCGUGAUGGGGAUUGACGGUUGCAAUUUUCUGUCAUGAACGAGGAAUACCUUGUAAGCGCGGGUCAUCAUCCCGCGCUGAAUACGUCCCUGCCCUUUGUACACACCGCCCGUCGCUCCUACCGAUUGGGUGGUCCGGUGAGGCUUUGGGAUCUGAGCGGAAAGAGCGUUUCGCUGUUUCUGCUCGGAAAACUCAGUCGAACCUUAUCAUUUAGAGGAAGGAGAAGUCGUAACA